CUUAUUUUAUAGACAAUAAAAUGCUCAAGAAAUAAGUCGCGUGAACGCCUUCAAACCCCAACCCCUCCGUCAUAGACUGGUCUACCUGAUGAAACAAAAUGGCUCCAAAAGGGAAAACAAGUCAACGUGAGGACUUGAAACAAGAAGAUAUUUUACAAGCUGUUGUAAUCGCUGACAGUUUCAAUGUUCGGUUUGGACCAGUCACACAGAGACGUCCACGGACUCUCCUGCCGCUGGUGAAUGUCCCACUGCUGGACUACACACUGGAGUUCCUGUAUGCAGCAGGAGUCCAGGAGGUGUUUGUGUUCUGCUGCCAUCUGGCUGACCAGAUCAGGACACACAUCAAAAAUUCCAAAUGGAAUGAUAGUUCAUCGCCAAUGCAGGUCAGCCCGAUACUGUCAGAUGGAUGCAUGUCAGUUGGAGAUGCUCUGCGAGAGAUCGACAGCAAGUCCCUUGUCAGAAGUGACUUCAUCCUCGUUUCAGGAGAUAUCGUCGCCAACAUCAACUUGAAGAAAAUACUAGAAGAGCACAAGAAACGACGAGAGAAGGACAAGUCAAGUGUGAUGACGCUGGUGUGCAAGAAGGCCCCACCGGGACACCGUACACGCUGCAGCGAGGACGAAAUCCUUGUUGCAGUGGAGAGUGACACAAACAGGGUUCUGCAUUAUCAAAAGGCAUACCAGCAAAACAAGUUUCAUAUACCAGUGAGCGUGUUUGUGGAGCACACAGAUGUGGACGUGAGGUAUGACAUGCUAGAUUCGCAGGUGUGCAUCUGUACGCCCCUCGUACCACAACUCUACACGGACAACUUCGACUACCAAUCUCGCGAUGACUUUGUCCGUGGAAUUCUCAUAAGUGAAGAGAUUCUUGGAAACACAAUACACUUGGCUGUUGUGAGGGAUGAGUAUGCUGCCAGAAUAUCCAACCUGCAGAUGUACGAUGCAGUAAGCCAUGAUGUGAUGAGUCGGUGGACAUAUCCCCUGGUGCCCGAUGGCUACAUGACGUCCCUGGAACGUGACGUCAUGUCAUAUGGAAGACACAACGUGUAUCUCAGUAAAGACAUCACAUUAGCCAGAGGUUGUGUCCUGGCCGAGAAUGUUGUGAUCGGAAGCGGAACGUCAGUUGGGAAUAACACACACAUAAGCAACUCGGUUAUAGGGAAAAACUGUCAGAUAGGUGAGAAUGUGAAGAUAGUGGGUAGUUACCUGUGGGAUGGUGUGGUGGUGGAAGACAACUGUGUCAUCGAGACGGCUCUCCUCUGUAGCGACGUCAAGGUCCACAAAGAAGUCAUCAUUCCUCCAGGGGCGGUCCUAGCGUGGGAGGUGAAAGUUGGACCUUCCCUGACUCUACCAGCUGGUUGUCAGCUGAUCAGUAAGCCGCAGGUGGAUGAAUUUGCUGAUGAAGACGAGACUCCCCCAGAACCUGAUGUGACACCAGAGUUCGGCAGUCAGAGCAAAGCGUUUGUGUACCGAGCAAGCUGUGAAUCGGAUGACGAGGAUGAGGAUUUGGUCCAGGACAUGUGGGGACUGACCAUCCAGUCGGAGGAGGAGGACGAUGACAUCAGCAGCAUCGACAGCGACGCCACGGACCAGGAUGACAUUUCUCCAUCAGGCAGCCCUAUACCGGACGACGCUGGAACCUUGAUGCAUGGCGCCGCCACGGUUUGCUUCUUCUGGCUGAUGUUCCUCCUUCGUCACCUCCCUCUCCUCAUGUUCCUCGGGGUCAUUCUCAGCUUCAUUUCGGUCGCCAUGGAAACAGUCAUUCUCCAGAACAAUUCUUGGAAUGUUUUCGGUUAUCUUUAGUGUGAUGUCAUCAGAGACGGUUUGUGUGCACAGUGUUUUGAAGUGAAUGAACUUGAGGAUGUCUUGAAGUGUGUUGCGUGAAGAUUGGUACAGAAGAUGGUCAUAAUGUGGUUACCAUGGUUACAAAUGUUUUGAGAGAUGACUGUUGCCAUGACAGCAGUAACAGGAUUUCUACUCCGAAGUGAUCGACACUCUGAUACGAGCCAAGGAAGAUAACAUCAUCACAGACAACAUUAUCCUGGAGAUAAAUUCACUAAAACAUGCCUACAACAUCGCC
RNAcentral lists this unclassified non-coding RNA (2079 nucleotides) under Haliotis rubra (blacklip abalone). RNAcentral's name for it is "translation initiation factor eIF-2B subunit epsilon- like, transcript variant X1". The record is from RNAcentral. Lineage: Eukaryota; Metazoa; Mollusca; Gastropoda; Lepetellida; Haliotidae.